This 185-nucleotide small nucleolar RNA is filed under the name Salmo trutta (river trout). RNAcentral's name for it is "Small nucleolar RNA SNORA74 (ENSSTUG00000026626.1)". It matches the Rfam family "Small nucleolar RNA SNORA74". Rfam says of the family: U19 belongs to the H/ACA class of snoRNAs. snoRNAs bind a number of proteins (including dyskerin, Gar1p and Nop10p in the case of the H/ACA class) to form snoRNP complexes. Lineage: Eukaryota; Metazoa; Chordata; Actinopteri; Salmoniformes; Salmonidae. The record is from Rfam by way of RNAcentral.
CCCAGGAGUAGUCAGCUGUACAGGCCAGCCCCAUGCCUGAGUUAGUGUUACACUGCUGGGAGAGAAGGGCUCUGCUAAUGUGGCUUGGUGCAGCAGACACUGUUUUAGUGGUUGUUGGUGCUGUGCCCUUCUGAGAGUGGGCUGUACCCUCACACUGGGGCGACCCUAGUAGAAGGGCUAACAAA